RNAcentral lists this long non-coding RNA (1611 nucleotides) under Equus caballus (horse). RNAcentral describes it as "lncRNA (ENSECAG00000029156.3)". The record is from RNAcentral. Lineage: Eukaryota; Metazoa; Chordata; Mammalia; Perissodactyla; Equidae.
UGGCGCUGCGGUCCGGCUCGCCGGAGCCGCCCGCGCGGGCGCCGAGAGGAGAGGCGAGGCGCGGCGAGGCGGGGAGCGCGAGCGGCGGCGGCCCCUGCCACGUCUGGCCGGCAGCGGCGGCGGGAGGAGGUGAGCGGCGCCGGCGCCGCGGGCAGGUGGGCAGGCAGCGGCCGGGCGGGCGCGCGGGGCCCCUGCUGCGGGCCCCGGGCCGGGGAGGUGGCGCCGGGACAGCGCGGUUCCCGCCACGCCGGCUCCGCCUCCGCGCGGGCUGACGGCCGAGGCCCGGGCGCCGAGCGGGUCCCGAGCGCAACUCGUGCGGCGGGCGCCGGGGGGACGCGAGCCGGGCCGCCCGUCGCGGCGCCGGACGCCGAUUGCCCGCCGCUGCGGGGCCCCGGCCGCGGCCGGGAAAAGUUGGGGCGGACCGCGAGCCCGCGUGGGCCGGGCGGGAAGUGCGCGUGCCGGGCGGACUCCGGGGGCCGGAGGGACGCGAGGCUGGAUACUGUAACAGAACACUUGGAUUUUGGUGUAACCUGCCAGCAUGUUUCUGAACCUCUCCCCCGAGGAAGCGAGCGGGUGAAUAACUCAAGUCACCUUUACUGGAAGUCACUUUGCUGAAACUAUUGAAAGAGCCAUUCUUGAAGUUGAAGAAAAGGAGAUUCUGCGCCUUGACCAGAGGAGUGUGGCCCUUCCUUCAAAAUCCUCUGUGGACACGCCCUCCUAGCGUCCCUGGGGAAAGAUGCGGCAGCUCAAGGGGAAGCCCAAGAAGGAGACGUCCAAGGACAAGAAGGAGCGGAAGCAGGCCAUGCAGGAGGCCCGGCAGCAGAUCACCACGGUGGUGCUGCCCACGCUGGCCGUCGUCGUGCUCCUGAUCGUGGUGUUCGUGUACGUGGCCACGCGCCCCACCGUCACCGAGUGAGCCCUGUGGCUGGGUGGACUCCCCCAGCAGGGAGCGGAGGUGCGGGAGGGGGCAAGCAAGAGAGAAAUGGCUUUCCUAUUCGGAGAUGUGCCUGAUGCUGAGCUCUGAGCAGAGCACCCUGUCUUCUCUGAUCUCUGACUUGAUUAAAGUUUCUCCACUUUUCUUGGGAGGGAAUAGGGAACGUUUUAUCAGUGAACAUGCCAUACACUUUAUGGUCCACUUCAUGUGCCUUUCAGACUUCAAAGCAGUGUGUGUGUUUCUUUUUUUCUUCUGAAAUCGAUGUGUAGCUCCACCUGGUGAGAGGAGGCAUCUCUGGGUCCUGAAUCGGUUGGAAUCAGCGCUCACCCCAUUCCCAUUGUUUUGAACAUGACUCUUGCCUACAUGUGUUCACAAUUUCCAAAGGGACUGUGUUUCUUCUCUGUGCUUAAUGUGAUUUGAAAUAUGUCAACUCAAAAGUGAAAUAUUUAUUUUUUGAAUAAAGGAGAUAAUAGCCUUAAACUGGAUGUUUAUCUUGCUUUGCCAGGAGGCGGCCUUGUUUUCUGUGGAGGCACAGGAAGGCGCUGUCUGUGGGGCUCCCUCUCUGGCAGUGUCCCUCUUCCCUCCACUCCUCUCCCCUGAGGCUUUCUCCACCUUCCCCCUUGACUCCCUGCUGUGAAUCACUUCCAGUAAAAUUGUGCUUUUUGACUGGAUCAUCC